CUUUAACACUAAUUGGAGAUAAGCCAAUCAGACACACUCUGUGUGUAUAUAAGAUAACCUCUCCCUUACCUCAGUGCCCUGUUGUGGUCUUUGGUUUACCAUUGAGCGUCGCACUUGUUAUUUGGAUUUCCUGGUUACUGAUAUUUGGCUUUGUCUCCCGUUAUUCCGUCUCUCUGUUUCCCUUGACCUCGGCUCAUGUUUUGACUAUCC
This is a non-coding RNA of Pelobates cultripes (western spadefoot toad), 210 nucleotides long. NCBI's taxonomy places the organism in Eukaryota, Metazoa, Chordata, Amphibia, Anura, Pelobatidae. The record is from the annotation of a GenBank genome assembly.